RNAcentral lists this unclassified non-coding RNA (2486 nucleotides) under Rhagoletis pomonella (apple maggot). RNAcentral's name for it is "uncharacterized LOC118741210, transcript variant X1". Lineage: Eukaryota; Metazoa; Arthropoda; Insecta; Diptera; Tephritidae. The record is from RNAcentral.
UAAAAAGUCGAUUUUGGUCGAAAGUCGACGUCGACUUUGCCAUCUUUAGUCUGUUCGUCGUUUGUGUUGUUUCAAUCGUUCUUGUUAUUUUUUAUCACUGCAAUUGUUGGAUUUCUUGAUAUUGGAGCUUAUCUUGGUGGAAUCAUAACACCUCUCGGAGAAUUUAUAUAUUCGAAAUUGACAUCAACUUCUCAAAGGCAUCUUACCUUAGGAAAAGUUAUCGGAUUUUUGUUUACGGCAUUCGCAGACAGAGCGCAUCCAUUUUUUCUUUAUUCGGCGGUGGUAAAAAAACUGAUACGCAUCUAUUAAUAUGAAGUGCGCUGUACUAUAUUGCAAGAGCUCUAUCAAAGACAGUACAAUAAAUUUUCAUAAAUUCCCAAACAACCAAGAGUUGUUCCAAAAAUGGGCGGACUUUUGCGAACAAGCAGUCGGCAGAAAUGCAAAAGUUUGUAGUGAACAUUUUCUGCCAGAUGAUUAUGAAGGAAGCUUAAAAGUUGAAAUGGGAUUCGGAAGAUGGCGCUACCUUAAAAAGGGUGCUGUACCGUCCGUUAAGAAAAAUCAGAUUGCAUCCUUAAUUACAGCCCUGAAAAAGCCAUGGCCAUCACAAAGUAGUACUCUACCACAGACUUCAACAAAAGCAGCAGCCAUUUCGCAUAAAACAUCAGAGGCUGAAACGCAGAACAAACCAUCUACCGCUGCGAAACCUGUAGUUAAGGUCGCAUAUAUUUUGCCAAAGGCUUUAAAUAAACCAGCAAAAGCUUUGUGCCACACCACGCCAGUAACAUAUGCUUCACCUACCAUUUCGUUGAUGACUGCACCCUCUCGUGACCUCAACUGUACAAUAGAUUACUUGGAAAACAAAGUUGAAACGGCAAAAAAAGAUGCAGAACUGAAAACGAAAUUUCUGGAAGAGAAAAUCGAAGCGCUAAAGACUGAAAAUCAACGUUUGCAACAAUGCUCGAAAUUGAGGCUAGAAGAAGCCACCCGUUUGGAACAGCAAAUUGUAACGCUAAGACAGGAUAAAUUUAAAUUAGAAUUGGCAUCAGUUAAAUAUGAAAAAGAAAAAGCUGCUUUGGAGAUGCGCGUUAAGAGAGCCGAGUUCGAGCAAAGAAAUUUGGAGCAGAAACUGCAAACGAUAUUCACUCCUAAACAGAUUAGAAUGAUAAAAAGUGGAAAGACCCAACGCUGGAAUGAAGAAGAUAUUAAGAUGUCCAUUAAACUAUAUAGGACUAGCCCCAAAAUGUAUAUUAUGCUAAAGGAAAAGAAUUAUCCGUUACCUGGUGUGCGCACCAUUCAAAUGUGGUGCCAAAUGAAGAAAAUUCAAAUCGAUGGAACUGAAGAUGACGCGGAUAAAGAAAUUCCAAGCAGUACCGUAAAAAAUGGAAAUCAAACAGAAGAACAGCCCGUUGAUGAUUUAGAUAAUGAAAUGAUUACAAAUGAUAUGUUUGAAAUUGAAAGGAUCGAUGAGAACGUUGAUGAGGCGACUGUGCAUGGUAGUACAGAAGAGGAAGAAAAUACUGCAGUAGAAAAGAUGUGUGAUGAUGGAGAUGAGGUGAGCAGUGACAUGGAUGCUGCUUUCAAGUUGAUAACUUAUGAUUCAGAUGAAACCAUAAGUGCUAUAGAAGAUGAACACGAUAUUACGGAUGCAAUUUCAUUUGAUCACACGGAUAAGGCAAAUGAAAAUAGUAUACUAACAGUCGAAAGUCCCGGUAUUGAGGUUCAAGAAUUCAUUAUUCCGUGAUGGCUGGAUGCUCUGGAGGUUAUGGAAAUUUCAAACAAGUAAAUGAAGAAAUAAAGCGGUUAAGACAUUAUAAAUGAUGAGGAAAUUUUAGGAGAUUUUUAUUUUUAUCAACUGAUUGAAUGAAACUUUAAUAAAUGUGGCGAUAUCUGCAUUUUAUAAAUAGGAUUUGCAAUUUCGACAGAAGUAUGUAAAAUGAGAAAUUCGCCAUUCGUAAAAUAUCCAUACAUAUGUAUAUUCGCUAAAUUAGAGCGAAUACUUUUUUAUGAGUUGAUAUAAUUAAAAAUAGAAAAAGAACUAAUGGAAAAUUGGUUGUAUUAUAUAAGCUAGAACUAUGUAUUUUAGAUAUACACACAUAAGUAUAUUAAUUUAUGCUUUUGUCCUUUUCACAGACUUAAUUUAAAUAUAUGCUGGCGUACUUUAGCGCACUUCAAGUCCAGGUUAUAUCGUACCUUUACUGCAGAAAUUUCAUUGGGGUUUCGAUUAUAAACAUAUCAUUUGAAGAAAAUGUGUGUUCGUUUUUACCAUGUGAGCCUUUGUAAACAGUGAAUUUUAAAGCCGUUUUUCUCGAGCUUCUGUUUUUUUUGUAUCAUGACAUUCUUGCAGCAGAGGUACCAUAUGCCGUUUCUAUUCUUAUAUUUAGUAUAGUAUCAUACUAAUUGGAGUUUAAAUUGAGAUGUUCAAACGUUUUAUGUACUGUGUAUGUUCAAUAAAUAAUUUCAUUUAAUUGGAAAAAUUUAUAAGUUAA